Molecule: long non-coding RNA, 479 nt
Organism: Cervus elaphus (red deer)
Lineage: Eukaryota; Metazoa; Chordata; Mammalia; Artiodactyla; Cervidae
Exons: 3
Source: RefSeq, a predicted model, not a curated record
UUUGCUGCUUGUGAAAUGGGAGGUCACAAAUAAUUUUGUAAAGCACUCCAUUUAUUUGUAAAAGACUCCACUUAUAAUUCCACUAAGUUGUCCACUGUUUUUCCACAGCUGGAAGAAAAGUUCUAGUUGAUUGUUUCGCUGGCCAGUGAGGAGCUUAAAAGAAAAUUUAAGAGUUUAAAUUCCUGUCAUGGAAAUACUUUUAUCUUCUGAUCUCCAUAGACUCUUUAAGGUUGUCAGAACAGAGGCGUUUGCAAUGAAGCAAAUUCAGAGGAAAACUGAAGUGAGGAGUUUCAAAUGCAAAAUGUUACUCCACACACAGGAAAUGACUGAUAAGAGCCUCAGGGUCAGAUAGCGAUGGAGCGAUGGAAUGUACCAGCCUCCCCAUGCCAGAUCGGAGAGAAACUGAGGAGCUGAAAACAAAGACGAUAUCCAACCCCAGUGGCUCCUCCCAGAGCAUGUGCAGGGGUUGGGACAUUAAA